AGAGUUUGAUCAUGGCUCAGAACGAACGCUGGCGGCAGGCCUAACACAUGCAAGUCGAACGAUAAGCCACCUUCGGGUGGUGGACAGUGGCAGACGGGUGAGUAACGCGUGGGAACGUGCCUUUCGGUUCGGAAUAACCCAGGGAAACUUGGGCUAAUACCGGAUACGCCCUUCGGGGGAAAGAUUCAUUGCCGAAAGAUCGGCCCGCGUCGGAUUAGCUAGUUGGUGGGGUAAUGGCUCACCAAGGCGACGAUCCGUAGCUGGUCUGAGAGGAUGACCAGCCACACUGGGACUGAGACACGGCCCAGACUCCUACGGGAGGCAGCAGUGGGGAAUAUUGGACAAUGGGCGAAAGCCUGAUCCAGCCAUGCCGCGUGGGUGAAGAAGGCCUUAGGGUUGUAAACCCCUUUCAGCGGGGAAGAUAAUGACGGUACCCGCAGAAGAAGUCCCGGCUAACUCCGUGCCAGCAGCCGCGGUA
RNAcentral lists this ribosomal RNA (478 nucleotides) under uncultured Pseudomonadota bacterium. RNAcentral's name for it is "bacterial SSU rRNA". It matches the Rfam family "Bacterial small subunit ribosomal RNA", at positions 8 to 522 of the family's 1533-position model. Lineage: Bacteria; Pseudomonadati; Pseudomonadota. The record is from RNAcentral.